UCGUCUACCAUUCUCGCCAGCGGCGAGCG
Molecule: small RNA, 29 nt
Filed under: Bombyx mori (domestic silkworm)
Lineage: Eukaryota; Metazoa; Arthropoda; Insecta; Lepidoptera; Bombycidae
Description: ovarian small RNA-29270
Source: RNAcentral